UUCCCAGGGGUGAAGAUUUAAUACAACUUAGUGCCCUGAAGAAGAAGAAGGAUAAUGGUUUGCAAUCAAUGCUCAUGGACAAGACACCUAAUCUGAACUUAACCAAAAAGUCAAUAUUUAACUGUACCUUAUCAGUGUGGAAAUGUCAAGCAUAGCAAGAGACAACGAACAAAUUUCCAAGUGAUUUCUCUUUUUUUUAUGUUUUGGUGUUCACAGCUAUGUGGAAGUGUUUCAACAUCAGAUAAGACAAAAUGGCCUUUGGGAGAAAAAAAAAGACAGCAAAUUACAAUACUUGCACUUGCCGAAACCACAGUUUAUGAGAGGAAAGCAGACACUGGAUAUGCAUUCUAUUCUCUCCUAGCACAUUCCCUGGUUCACCUUCCUGCCUGUGUGAUGCUAGCCCUUGAUUGUUUCCCACAGCUGGCAGCCUUUAAGAGACAGAUAUGUUGAAAUGUCUCCUUGCUGAGUAAAGUCACUAUCUGUUGCCACCCAACACAAUUGACACAAAUUAUUUGCACUCUAAAUUUCCAUGCCUAGGAGUAGAUACAUAAAGCAUGACUAGGAGGACUGUGGGUCUGCAAAACAGGAGCUCCACCUGAAUUUCCUGGAAGUUAUGGCCAGUUAAUGUAGAGAAAGAGGUUUUCAAAAUUGUAAGAACUUCAGGACCUUUGUCAGAAUUCCAUCUCGCUCCACAGGACUCCAGCUAACCUCACCCACAUAACUGGUGUUGAAAGUUUUAUUUUGUUAGAAAAUAAUGUUACACUGGAAAAACCUAUGCUGGUACUCACAUUUAAUGGGAUGUUGGACUGUCAGCAUUACAAUACAAGAAAGAAAGGUGAUGACUUAAAUGGAUAAAUAUGCAUUGUUGCUAACUGACUUUUUAAGGAAUUGUGGGUGGGCUUGACAUAACAGGGAACAUGAACAUGGAGAUCUGAAAAAUACUGAUAGAGAAAACAUCAUUUCAUCUGGGACUACAACUAGAAAGGACCUUUUUGAACUAGAUUCACAGAACAGUGAUUCAUGGAGUUCACCAAGGGUAGUGACCAACCAUUUCAAACUAUGUAUAUAGUAAAAAUAAUGUAGGUGCUUGUUAAAAAUGCAGAUUCCCAUGGACUUCCCCCUGGAGAUUCUGAUUCAGGGUGUUAAAAUAAUUCAUGCGGAGGCCAUUACACUGGGGUGGCUCCAUUGCUCUGGGUUUCUACUAAACAAACUGAAACCCAACUCAGUGUUAACAGGAAAACAACCAAUCAGAAACUGCCAACUGACCUCUAGUGGGACUUUCUACUGGAAUCAUCCAAAUAAGGCUACUGAUCCACUUUAACCAAUAAAAAAAAUG
This 1336-nucleotide long non-coding RNA is filed under the name Homo sapiens (human). Its description in RNAcentral is "HSALNT0125512". The record is from RNAcentral. Lineage: Eukaryota; Metazoa; Chordata; Mammalia; Primates; Hominidae.